GACGAACGCUGGCGGCGUGCUUAACACAUGCAAGUCGAACGGAAAGGCCCUGCUUUUGUGGGGUGCUCGAGUGGCGAACGGGUGAGUAACACGUGAGUAACCUGCCCUUGACUUUGGGAUAACUUCAGGAAACUGGGGCUAAUACCGGAUAGGAGCGCCUGCUGCAGGGUGGGGGUUGGAAAGUUUUGGCGGUUGGGGAUGGACUCGCGGCUUAUCAGCUUGUUGGUGGGGUAGUGGCUUACCAAGGCUUUGACGGGUAGCCGGCCUGAGAGGGUGACCGGCCACAUUGGGACUGAGAUACGGCCCAGACUCCUACGGGAGGCAGCAGUGGGGAAUAUUGCACAAUGGGCGGAAGCCUGAUGCAGCAACGCCGCGUGCGGGAUGACGGCCUUCGGGUUGUAAACCGCUUUCGCCUGUGACGAAGCGUGAGUGACGGUAAUGGGUAAAGAAGCACCGGCUAACUACGUG
This 468-nucleotide ribosomal RNA is filed under the name uncultured bacterium. RNAcentral's name for it is "partial 16S ribosomal RNA". It matches the Rfam family "Bacterial small subunit ribosomal RNA", at positions 28 to 507 of the family's 1533-position model. The record is from RNAcentral.